RNAcentral lists this transfer RNA (84 nucleotides) under Echinostoma caproni. It matches the Rfam family "tRNA". Rfam says of the family: Transfer RNA (tRNA) molecules are approximately 80 nucleotides in length. The record is from Rfam by way of RNAcentral. Lineage: Eukaryota; Metazoa; Platyhelminthes; Trematoda; Plagiorchiida; Echinostomatidae.
GGCAUCGUAGCUCAAUUGGUUGAGCUUGUGCUGUACAAAUGCUUAUGCGGCGUCCAUGCGUGGGUUCGAAUCUCAUCGAUGCUA